GAUGAGGUGAGGGAGCAGUGCAGCAAGGGAGCAGUGCAGCAAGAGCAUGAAGAUUACACAAAUCCCACACUGGACCUCAGUGAAGAAAUCCCCAAUGUACCUCCAAAAAAAAAGGAUUCACUUCAGCUCUCUCAAAGGUAGGGAGGCUGGAUGGACUUAAAAUAAAAAUAAUAAUUUGUGAGUGUGUGUCAAUGAGUGUGUCUGUCAGCGAGUGUUAAAUCAGUGAAU
Molecule: non-coding RNA, 228 nt
Organism: Pelobates cultripes (western spadefoot toad)
Lineage: Eukaryota; Metazoa; Chordata; Amphibia; Anura; Pelobatidae
Source: the annotation of a GenBank genome assembly